UACGGAGGGUGCGAGCGUUGUCCGGAAUCAUUGGGCGUAAAGGGCGCGUAGGUGGCGGGACAAGCGUGCGGUGAAAGCUCGGGGCUCAACCCCGAGUCGGCCGUGCGAACUGUUUUGCUUGAGCACUGUAGAGGCAGGCGGAAUUCCGGGUGUAGCGGUGGAAUGCGUAGAGAUCCGGAAGAACACCCGUGGCGAAGGCGGCUCUCUGGGACGGUACUGACGCUGAGACGCGAAAGCGUGGGGAGCGAACAGG
Molecule: ribosomal RNA, 253 nt
Filed under: uncultured bacterium
Lineage: Bacteria
Description: partial 16S ribosomal RNA
Rfam family: Bacterial small subunit ribosomal RNA
Source: RNAcentral